Molecule: small RNA, 288 nt
Filed under: Actibacterium mucosum KCTC 23349
Lineage: Bacteria; Pseudomonadati; Pseudomonadota; Alphaproteobacteria; Rhodobacterales; Roseobacteraceae
Description: 5' ureB small RNA
Rfam family: 5' ureB small RNA
Source: Rfam by way of RNAcentral
AUCGUCGGCCUGUUGCGGACAGAUAAAGUGGAUGUGGCUGUCAAACCCGCCGGCGGUCAGGAUCUUGCCCUCGCCCGCGAUGGCCUCGGUGCCCGGGCCCACGAUGAUGUUCACGCCGGGCUGCGUGUCGGGGUUGCCCGCCUUGCCAAUGGCCGCGAUGCGCCCGUCGCGCAGCCCCACGUCGGCCUUGUAGAUGCCGGUAUGGUCGAUGAUCAGCGCGUUGGUGAUGACGGUGUCCACCGCCCCACCCGUGCGCGUCACUUGCGACUGCCCCAUGCCAUCGCGGAU